CAGGCGUUCAGUGGCAACGGAACAGCAGUGCCCGUGUUGUCUCUUGGCGUGAUGUGGCCCUAGCCGCCCCUGCCUCUUCUGCAGACAGGGGUCCCAAGAUUGCUGGGCAGUGCCUCAGACUGCCUCGGACAGAGCUGGGGGCUGCAGAGGCCAGGCCCCAAGUGGAGGGAAGCCGGGGGAGAAGACUGAACUCAUCACCCAGGUGACCGUGGAGCAGCCGCCCUUAGCCUAGGGCCCUCCAAGUUGGCUCCCUCCCAGAUGCCACUAACUCCACCAAAGAAUCUACGUCACCUUUCCCUGCCACCCUGGAGUCAAGAAAGAACCAAAGGUCCCUAAGCCCCUCUCUGGGGAGAGUCAGGUCUGACGAUAGGGCGAGAGAAGAGGUUGUGAUUUGUUUCUCCCUUCUCAAGAAAUGGGGAAAUCUGUGUCUUCCCCAACACACCAAAUAACCUCAAACUAAACCAUGCUCAGGUGGGAGUUCUCUCCAACCCAUUAGUCCUCCCUCGUAACCCCAUCGAAUAUAUCCUCUUGAUGCAAAUAUGAACUACCCAAAGAUAUAUAGCUUUAAAGCCCCCCGCCCCCACCAAGAGGGGACUCAGGGCAAGGGACUCCGUCAGCAACUGCAUCUUCCAACCCGAACCCCCAGUCUGAAAUCUGUUUGUCUCCUCAUGCCUGAGCUGGAGUCUUGACCAGGGACAGGCAACCUGCAUUCCUGGUGGUCUAAAUAGGCAGGUGGGCAAAGGGGCUGCCAAGUUCCUUGCCCCCUUGUCCCAACAUCAGAAGAGUUCUGAACAUAUAAGCUCACACACGCUGCUUCUCUGAGCAACCGAAUGCCCAUCUCCCCCUUUCCAGAUCCAAAGCAUUGACCUCUUUUCGGGAGGCAUGCCUCCUCAAUUUUUCUAUUUUUGAAAGGAGAUACUAGUUUGCGUUGAGGUUUUGGUGGCCUUGAAUCCCUCGUAGAAUGAGCACAGACGCUGUGGAGCACCCCACACAUCUAUUCCCCUCAAUUCUAGGU
Non-coding RNA from Kogia breviceps (pygmy sperm whale), 1015 nucleotides. Lineage: Eukaryota; Metazoa; Chordata; Mammalia; Artiodactyla; Physeteridae. The record is from RefSeq and is a predicted model, not a curated record.